This is a non-coding RNA of Ciona savignyi (Pacific transparent sea squirt), 83 nucleotides long. The record is from Rfam. NCBI's taxonomy places the organism in Eukaryota, Metazoa, Chordata, Ascidiacea, Phlebobranchia, Cionidae.
GUCGUCGUGGCCCUAGUGGUUAAGGCGACAGACUUGAAAUCUGUUGGGAUCUGCCCGCACAGGUUCGAAUCCUGUCGGCGACG